CUCCGUUCCAAAGCCCACGUGAGGACUCCUCCCACCCCCACGCUAGCCAUGGGCUUCCACACUCCUUUCCUCAGAUGAGGCAACACCGCACCCCGAGGAUGGGUGACAUGACUUGAAGCUAACAAAUUCUAAGGUGCAGAUGACUUCAAUUGUCACUCGGUUUGAAACACAGGUGACUGAGUUGUGUUGCUGUGAAGAGGAGAGCCAGUGUCAGCAUGAAGGUGUUCUGGGAGCCCCUGCAGUGCUUCUGGACAAAGUCGUUUGGGUAGGAGAGCAGCUGGACUCAGGAGUCGAGCACGGAGGCACUGGGAUGAAGCAAACCCCCAGUCUGAAUGCUGGUCUUCCAGCGGCUUGAAGAACCUACUCUGAUGUGUAUUCCUCACCCUCAUCCUCAGAUGUCUGUGACUACCAAGAACAAGAACAAGAACAAGAACAACAACAAGAACAACAAGAACAAGAACAAGAACAACAACAACAACAACAACAACAACAACAACAACAACUGUUGACCUCCUCUGAACUGUGACCUGUCAGAAUGCUGCCGGGAGGCUGGGGAUGGGAGAGUCAGAGGCAGGCUAAGAGGGACGUGCCUGAGGACUGGGUCUGACAGGGAUGGGAAGGGCAGUGGGAACGGAGUGUUCAGCCUUUGUUGUUGUUUGUUUCUGAUUGCUUUCCACCUGUAACCUCGCAUUUCCUUCAAGACUUCUUGUGCAGUGCCUUUCUCCAACUCCAUCCUUCCCUUCCCUACCAAACCCAAACUGGGUUUCAAGAGCAAGUCCUCUGCUGUCUCUCCGAUGGGACCCACUUCUUUUUAUCUUUGUACUUUCAGUCUGGCUCAUCUUAAUUUGUCCCCAAGCAAAGGUACCAAGUGACUAUUUCAGGGGGCUGCAGCCCCUGAAAACCUGAGCCAGAUGAACCUUUGCUGCUUAACCGUUAGCCUCAGGUAUUUUAUCACAGCGACAGGAAGCCGACUGAAGGCCAGGCCCUUACAGCUCUGUCACCUGCACUCCUGAAGGGACCCAUGUGCCUUGGUCCUGGAAGGCAGUGAGUGACAUACUGUGGUUUGCAGUAGUGGCAGUCACAUGUUGGCUGACCUGAAUGGCUGUGGAUGGCUGUGUGUUUGAGAUAAUUAAAUAGUAUGCUAGGAAUCUCCUCCACCCAUACAGCACCCUGGAACACACGGUUUCUCAAAGCGGCAACAAAAGCCAUUUUCUUUUGUUUUUUUUAAAAGAAAACUUAUAAUUAUGAAAGUAUGCAUGACUACAAGUUCUUUUUUAAGAACAGGGAAUGUUACAGAUAAAACAAAACUUCUUUCUGCCCACCAUGCCUGCUUCUGAGCCAUUACUAUUUUUAGCUAGAGUGUGGAUGCAGGCAUAAUAUGGUCAGCACAAAACCCCGUACUCAUUCCUGCCCGCUGCAGCUUGAAGUCUGGCUGGGGGGUCUUGUACGACUGUGUUGUUCUGCCAUCGUCUCUGGUCAGUCUCCGACCCUCUCCAAUCCAGUCCCAUAAAAAAUGCUAUAAAGUCACUCUGUUGCAGACUUACAAUUCCUUCCUAGGACACUGUGGCUACCCACUUAACAGCUUGGCAGUCAUCUGGAGUUCCCUGCGGUCGCUUUGUGUCAGAGCUGUGGGUCAGGGGAAGGGAGGGGGCUUGUGAAGGUUUGCACAGGGAACCAACCCCUGAGAUGUGAUUUGGACAGGCUGUUAUGUGGCACCCUUCCCUGGGAUCCAGAACUCAGAGUUGCUGUGAAGGAAUAAUAAUAUAUACCUUGACACAUCGAUUUGACAAUAGAGAGAUUUUGUGUGAAAGCUGUCUGAGACCAUAAAGGGUAGGAGAGCACAUUUAAAGGACAUUACUGUAGCUGGCCUUGAGGGGAGUCUUGUUGAGGCCUAAUCCUUUCAAGGAAUCGCUAGGCUAAGGAAAAUCAUGUAAGGACAGAGGAGCUCCACUUCCCAGACAAAAAUUACAUGUUGGGAUCGCGCACGCUCCUGUCGGCUGUGUGGAAGGGCCGUGUGGUCAGAGCAGGCCCGUGUUCUGGGAGACCAUAGAGAUUGCUGUCUCCCCGAGUCCAGCGCCUUUGAGUGGGAGUUUGUUUUUCAAACCACAUGCAAUUGCAUCAAAUGACUAGUCUCUCAGUAGAAUCCAAGCCUGGGGAUAUCUGUGAUUGUGUUUGGGGCAGGCUUCAGAACCUGGCAGGUUCUUGAAGUCAGAGAAUGUUCCGGCAGUUCUUGCACAGUUGGCAAGAAGGAGAGGAACGUGGUCAUUAGCCCCAUGGGCUAGACAGAAGGUGCAGGCACCCAGUGCUUUUCCAUCCCCUUCUGUGGGGUGUGGGCCUUUUGCACAUUCUCAGUCCUUUUCCUAGUUAAAACACAUUGUCAUCUGUUUCUAUCCAUCCCAGGCAAUCUGCAAUUCCAACCCAAUGUCAAGGACCCUUCAUUGGGUCAUUGGGUCAUUGGGUCAUUGGGUCAUUGGGAAGCCCCUUCUACUUCUCCCUGUAAGGUUUUUGCUUUGUUUUGAUUAUGUACUCGUCUGUCUGUUCAUUUUUUUGUUUGUUUGUUUGUUUUUUUCUUUUUUUCCGGAGCUGGGGACCGAACCCAGGGCCUUGCGCUUGCUAGGCAAGCGCUCUACCGCUGAGCUAAAUCCCCAACCCCUUGUCUGUUCAUUUUUGUUCAGGGCCUUGCACACACUGGUCAUUGAUGGAGUGCUCUAACACAGAGCUGCGUCCUCAGCCCAGGAGAUGCUUUCAGAGCUCCUUUACUGAGGCCAUCUUGGCUGCCACUGGAUCUGUACUUCAAUCCUCACAGCACGAUUAAUUAAGAGCUUGAUAAACUUCAGCCUUUUCAGGCUCCUGUGCUUCCUUAUUUAUUUGGAUUGUUACUAGGACUCUGGGGGUACUUUAGGAGUCUAGAUGCUCCUGGGAUAUGUGUGCAAAAUGUCCCAUCACGUCAGUGUGUGCCUGUUCUUGAGGAAGCACCCAUAGCUCCAGGCAUUUUGGAAGGACUUAAGUUAGUUGACCUAAGUCUUUGAAUCUUUGAGACUAAGAGAAACCUGGCUCCAAUAAAGACAACAUGUGCCCAGAAUUAAUAAAAGGUGUAACAGAACCAAGAGAAUAGAGGAUGGUUGUGGCUUCUUUGUGUUUGCUCUUUUAACAGGCAGAAGCAGACUGUGGUUAGCUAGGUGAAUAAAAGUGACAAAGGGGGUUAGGGUAUAGGUCAGUGGUGUGGGGCUUACCUAGCAUGUACUAGGCUCUGGGAUCAGUCCCUAGCCUUGAGUGUAACUGAGAAAAUAUGACGAAAUAUGGCUAAGCAUGGUGGCACAUGUUUUUUUAUCCCAAGCGCUCAGGAGGCAGAGGAAGAUGAGGAAGAAAGAUGUCUGUGAGUUCAAGGCCAACCUGGUCUACACAGUGAGAUCCUAUCUCACAAAAAUCCUGUAAAUACGGUUUUCAAACACGGGCAUACAUUGUACAGUGACAUUUAGUCAGCUGUGGAUUGGUUGUACUUAAUAAAAUACCGGUCCUAUAAGAUUACAACGGGACUGAAAUUGGAGUGAAAACACACUGUUGUUCAAAAUAAUUUCUUAGAACUAAAAGAGCUGCACAUUGAGUGGGCCCGCAGAGCUCAGCAUGGCCUGAACAAAAUCCAAAGUCCACCUAGGAAGCGCAAGGCCCUGGGUUUGGUCCCCAGCUCCGAAAAAAAGAACCAAAAAAAAAAAAAAAAA
Non-coding RNA from Rattus norvegicus (Norway rat), 3719 nucleotides. Lineage: Eukaryota; Metazoa; Chordata; Mammalia; Rodentia; Muridae. The record is from RefSeq and is a predicted model, not a curated record.